CCUACGGGAGGCAGCAGUGGGGAAUAUUGCACAAUGGGGGAAACCCUGAUGCAGCGACGCCGCGUGAGUGAAGAAGUAUUUCGGUAUGUAAAGCUCUAUCAGCAGGGAAGAAAAUGACGGUACCUGAUUAAGAAGCCCCGGCUAACUACGUGCCAGCAGCCGCGGUAAUACGUAGGGGGCAAGCGUUAUCCGGAUUUACUGGGUGUAAAGGGAGCGUAGACGGCAGCACAAGUCUGGAGGGAAAUGCCGGGGCUUAACCCCGGAACUGCUUUGGAAACUGUGCAGCUUGAGUGCAGGAGAGGUAAGUGGAAUUCCGAGUGUAGCGGUGAAAUGCGUAGAUAUUAGGAGGAACACCAGUGGCGAAGGCGGCUUACUGGACUGUAACUGACGUUGAGGCUCGAAAGCGUGGGGAGCAAACAGGAUUAGAUACCCCUGUAGUC
This 440-nucleotide ribosomal RNA is filed under the name uncultured bacterium. Its description in RNAcentral is "partial 16S ribosomal RNA". It matches the Rfam family "Bacterial small subunit ribosomal RNA", at positions 338 to 795 of the family's 1533-position model. The record is from RNAcentral.